GCUUACCAAAGAAGGUCAAUGGUUACCCGUUGUUUACAUUCGUCUUCUUCGGUACAGUCAUCUUUUUCGACAGACCGUAGCGUUUUUCGUUUCUUCAAGAUCCGAUUAGGUCAAACUCCAAUGGAGUUCUGAGAUAUUGUCUGUGUCAAAUAUUUGUGUAGAUCUCUGUGUCGGUUUCCUUAGUAUCUCCGACUCAUAGCCUAUAAUACGUUAUGGAAUUAAGUGGUUCAUCGCCAUCAACAGCCAUCUUUACUCCUUGGACCCACACCAUCCAUGAUAAACCUCACCUAUAAAAAGUCAGUGAGCUCGAUGCGAUUUCUAAUUACGGGGCAAGCUAUUGACGGAUACAGUGAACAAGAUGAUGAAAUCAGAUUUCUCGGUUUGUGGUAGUCUGAUCGACGAUGUGGUAGAUCGAAUAAAUGAUAUUGUUUCCUCCAUGGAUGUGUCUGAUGAACCCAAGUCGUGUCCUUUUGUUCUGGAAAGCACACAAAAUCUCGACUCUCGAUUGAAAAUUUGUGUCUUCUAAGGAAAUGCUCCAGAUGAUGAUGUAGACAUGUGAAACCAGUCAAAGAUUCUUGCUUCCAAUUCUGUGUGAAGUCUUUGAUGCGAAAAUAAAACGGUGGUUAUAAUAUAGAUGAAUUGACAAUACUAUGGAUUCUGAAUUCGUGUCUUUAUCGUCAGAAAUAUGAGGAUAAAGUUGUCUCAAGGAUGGAUCACAAAGGCGCCGUCAAUUGUCAAUACAGUUUGAGGAGAAAUUUGUCUCGAGUAUUAUGACAAGGCUCAUUGGGUUCUUUGGUAUCUUUGAAGAAAUUCUGGUAUUGUGCCGAUGAGCAGACAAGUCGAUGCAUCAGGUCUGGAAAAUCAACAUGGGGAAUUGCCUGAGAAUGAGUUGUUUCCCAGUUUCAAAACUCUUAAGUCCAGUCAGACUUCCAAGAGAGGCUUGGGAUGCUUCCGUUGAGUUCAUUGUUAGAAAUAUUAAGGGCCUUGAGAUUCUUUAAUUCCGACAAAGUCGCUGGUAAGUAGUAAUGGACCCGAGAAGUGGUUAAGUUAAGUUAGAGAUGAGUAAGGUUAUUGAUGUUGAUGAUUUAAGAAACUGGCUUUUGUUUCUCUGUAACAAAUAACUCUUUAGCUGAAGAAUAUUUGGAGAUUAAAAUUGUGUUAUAAUUGUAAAA
Brassica napus (rape) is the source of this 1172-nucleotide long non-coding RNA. RefSeq lists it as uncharacterized. The record is from RefSeq and is a predicted model, not a curated record. NCBI's taxonomy places the organism in Eukaryota, Viridiplantae, Streptophyta, Magnoliopsida, Brassicales, Brassicaceae. The transcript has 4 exons.